UCCAGACUCCUACGGGAGGCAGCAGUGGGGAAUAUUGGACAAUGGGGGGAACCCUGAUCCAGCGACGCCGCGUGAGUGAAGAAGUAUUUCGGUAUGUAAAGCUCUAUCAGCAGGGAAGAAAGAAAUGACGGUACCUGACUAAGAAGCCCCGGCUAACUACGUGCCAGCAGCCGCGGUAAUACGUAGGGGGCAAGCGUUAUCCGGAUUUACUGGGUGUAAAGGGAGCGUAGACGGCGAUGCAAGUCUGAAGUGAAAGGCGGGGGCCCAACCCCCGGACUGCUUUGGAGACUGUAUAGCUGGAGUGCAGGAGAGGUAAGUGGAAUUCCUAGUGUAGCGGUGAAAUGCGUAGAUAUCAGGAGGAACACCGGCGGCGAAGGCGGCCUGCUGGACCGUGACUGACGUUGAGGCUCGAGAGCGUGGGGAGCAAACAGGAUUAGAUACCCGAGUA
Molecule: ribosomal RNA, 448 nt
Filed under: uncultured bacterium
Lineage: Bacteria
Description: partial 16S ribosomal RNA
Rfam family: Bacterial small subunit ribosomal RNA
Source: RNAcentral